This 496-nucleotide ribosomal RNA is filed under the name uncultured bacterium. RNAcentral describes it as "partial 16S ribosomal RNA". It matches the Rfam family "Bacterial small subunit ribosomal RNA", at positions 29 to 507 of the family's 1533-position model. The record is from RNAcentral.
AUGAACGCUGGCGGCGUGCCUAAUACAUGCAAGUCGAGCGAACGGACGAGAAGCUUGCUUCUCUGAUGUUAGCGGCGGACGGGUGAGUAACACGUGGAUAACCUACCUAUAAGACUGGGAUAACUUCGGGAAACCGGAGCUAAUACCGGAUGAUAUUUUGAACCGCAUGGUUCAAAAGUGAAAGACGGUCUUGCUGUCACUUAUAGAUGGAUCCGCGCUGCAUUAGCUAGUUGGUAAGGUAACGGCUUACCAAGGCAACGAUGCAUAGCCGACCUGAGAGGGGGAUCGGCCACACUGGAACUGAGACACGGUCCAGACUCCUACGGGAGGCAGCAGUAGGGAAUCUUCCGCAAUGGGCGAAAGCCUGACGGAGCAACGCCGCGUGAGUGAUGAAGGUCUUCGGAUCGUAAAACUCUGUUAUUAGGGAAGAACAUAUGUGUAAGUAACUGUGCACAUCUUGACGGUACCUAAUCAGAAAGCCACGGCUAACUACGUG